RNAcentral lists this ribosomal RNA (1699 nucleotides) under Staphylococcus auricularis. RNAcentral's name for it is "bacterial LSU rRNA". It matches the Rfam family "Bacterial large subunit ribosomal RNA", at positions 139 to 1838 of the family's 2925-position model. The record is from RNAcentral. Lineage: Bacteria; Bacillati; Bacillota; Bacilli; Caryophanales; Staphylococcaceae.
UAUGUCGUGUUAUCGACAUGUGAAUUCAUAGCAUGUCAGAUGGUAGACCCGGAGAACUGAAACAUCUUAGUACCCGGAGGAAGAGAAAGAAAAAUCGAUUCCCUGAGUAGCGGCGAGCGAAACGGGAAGAGCCCAAACCAAUGAGCUUGCUUGUUGGGGUUGUAGGACACUCUUUUAGAGUUAGAAAUGUAUCGCUUAGACGAAGCAUCUGGAAAGAUGCAUCAGAGAAGGUAAUAAUCCUGUAGUCGAAAAGCUAUACACUCUUGAGUGGAUCCUGAGUACGACGGAGCACGUGUAAUUCCGUCGGAAUCUAGGAGGACCAUCUCCUAAGGCUAAAUACUCUCUAGUGACCGAUAGUGAACCAGUACCGUGAGGGAAAGGUGAAAAGCACCCCGGAAGGGGAGUGAAAUAGAACUUGAAACCGUGUGCUUACAAGUAGUCAGAGCCCGUUAAUGGGUGAUGGCGUGCCUUUUGUAGAAUGAACCGGCGAGUUACGAUCUGAUGCAAGGUUAAGCAGCGAAUGUGGAGCCGUAGCGAAAGCGAGUCUGAAUAGGGCGCUGAGUAUUUGGUCGUAGACCCGAAACCAGGUGAUCUACCCAUGACCAGGUUGAAGUUCAGGUAACACUGAAUGGAGGACCGAACCGACUUACGUUGAAAAGUGAGCGGAUGAGUUGUGGGUAGCGGAGAAAUUCCAAUCGAACUUGGAGAUAGCUGGUUCUCUCCGAAAUAGCUUUAGGGCUAGCCUCAAGUGAUGAUUAUUGGAGGUAGAGCACUGUUUGGACGAGGGGCCCCUCUCGGGUUACCGAAUUCAGACAAACUCCGAAUGCCAAUCAAUUUAACUUGGGAGUCAGAACAUGGGUGAUAAGGUCCGUGUUCGAAAGGGAAACAGCCCAGACCACCAGCUAAGGUCCCAAAAUAUAUGUUAAGUGGAAAAGGAUGUGGCGUUGCCCAGACAACUAGGAUGUUGGCUUAGAAGCAGCCAUCAUUUAAAGAGUGCGUAAUAGCUCACUAGUCGAGUGACACUGCGCCGAAAAUGUACCGGGGCUAAACAUAUUACCGAAGCUGUGGAUUGUCCGUAGGACAGUGGUAGGAGAGCGUUCUAAGGGCGUUGAAGCAUGACCGUAAGGACGUGUGGAGCGCUUAGAAGUGAGAAUGCCGGUGUGAGUAGCGAAAGAUGGGUGAGAAUCCCAUCCACCGAUUGACUAAGGUUUCCAGAGGAAGGCUCGUCCGCUCUGGGUUAGUCGGGACCUAAGCCGAGGCCGACAGGCGUAGGCGAUGGAUAACAGGUUGAUAUUCCUGUACCACCUCAAUUCGUUUUAAGCGAUGGGGGGACGCAGUAGGAUAGACGAAGCGUGCUGUUGGAGUGCACGUCCAAGCAGUAAGGCCGAGUGGUAGGCAAAUCCGCCACUCAUCAAGCUGAGCUGUGAUGGGGAGAGGAAAUUGUUUCCUCGAGUCGUUGAUUUCACACUGCCGAGAAAAGCCUCUAGCUAGAAUAUAGGUGCCCGUACCGCAAACCGACACAGGUAGUCAAGAUGAGAAUUCUAAGGUGAGCGAGCGAACUCUCGUUAAGGAACUCGGCAAAAUGACCCCGUAACUUCGGGAGAAGGGGUGCUCUUUGGGGUUCACGCCCUGAAGAGCCGCAGUGAAUAGGCCCAAGCGACUGUUUAUCAAAAACACAGGUCUCUGCUAAACCGUAAGG